UACGUAGGGUGCAAGCGUUGUCCGGAAUUAUUGGGCGUAAAGAGCGUGUAGGCGGCCCGAUUAGUCCGCUGUGAAAGUCCAGGGCUCAACCCUGGAAUGCCGGUGGAUACUGUCGGGCUAGAGUCCGGAAGGGGCGAGUGGAAUUCCUGGUGUAGCGGUGAAAUGCGCAGAUAUCAGGAGGAACACCAAUGGCGAAGGCAGCUCGCUGGGAAGUGACUGACGCUGAGACGCGAAAGCGUGGGGAGCAAACAGG
Molecule: ribosomal RNA, 253 nt
Filed under: uncultured bacterium
Lineage: Bacteria
Description: partial 16S ribosomal RNA
Rfam family: Bacterial small subunit ribosomal RNA
Source: RNAcentral